AAGAGAAUUUGGUGCCAUGUGCCAUCUACGAUACUUCUUUCUGCAGAGCAUUUCUGAAAAACGCCAGCAUGGCCAAACAGCGAUUCGAAAGAGCUGCAAGACAGUGGAAUCCCAUAAACCACGCCAGUAGUGCAAGGAGCAUAUCUGUGGACAUGACUGGAGACACAUUUGUUCCCUUUCCCUGGCUGCUGACACAAUGCUCUAUCCACCAAAGUACACACAUUGUGCACUUUAUUACGUGCUGAGAAUGACAUGUUUAUGCAAUAACGAGCACCAACAUUUUUCAAACCAUGUGCUAUCCUGUGUAUGUAUGGGAUAACUACCUGCCUCUUUUUCUUGCUAAUUUCUAGUGCACUAGAAUCACAAUGAUAAAACUUCUCUAUCUUUGAAAUAAGUUUUUCCGACAAGAAGCAAAUCGCGUCACUCGGAAAGCCAGAAUUUGCAAGGCGAGCAACUUGUGCAUCAAAUGCAUGCGCCAUAAGGUGCUCGCGUAACUUCUGAAGAGCGGCCCCCAGCACAGUUGAUGCAAUGGCUCCCUGUAUGGUUUUGAGUGGCCAGAAUUAAAAUUUAAAAUUGGCUUUAUGCAUCUAGGUUGGUAUUGCUAUAUAUGUGAUCUUUGAUGAAAGCCUGUCUUAAAUCGA
Long non-coding RNA from Rhipicephalus microplus (southern cattle tick), 641 nucleotides. The record is from RefSeq and is a predicted model, not a curated record. NCBI's taxonomy places the organism in Eukaryota, Metazoa, Arthropoda, Arachnida, Ixodida, Ixodidae.